UGGGGAAUUUUGGACAAUGGGCGCAAGCCUGAUCCAGCCAUGCCGCGUGCGGGAAGAAGGCCUUCGGGUUGUAAACCGCUUUUGUCAGGGAAGAAAUCUUCUGAGUUAAUACCUCGGGGAGGAUGACGGUACCUGAAGAAUAAGCACCGGCUAACUACGUGCCAGCAGCCGCGGUAAUACGUAGGGUGCAAGCGUUAAUCGGAAUUACUGGGCGUAAAGCGUGCGCAGGCGGUUUUGUAAGACAGAGGUGAAAUCCCCGGGCUCAACCUGGGAACUGCCUUUGUGACUGCAAGGCUUGAGUGCGGCAGAGGGGGAUGGAAUUCCGCGUGUAGCAGUGAAAUGCGUAGAUAUGCGGAGGAACACCGAUGGCGAAGGCAAUCCCCUGGGCCUGCACUGACGCUCAUGCACGAAAGCGUGGGGAGCAAACAGGAUUAGAUACCCUGGUAGUCCACGCCCUAAACGAUGUCAACUGGUUGUUGGGAAGGUUCCUUCUCAGUAACGUAGCUAACGCGUGAAGUUGACCGCCUGGGGAGUACGGCCGCAAGGUUGAAACUUAAAUGAAUUGACGGGGUCAUAGC
RNAcentral lists this ribosomal RNA (578 nucleotides) under uncultured bacterium. RNAcentral's name for it is "partial 16S ribosomal RNA". It matches the Rfam family "Bacterial small subunit ribosomal RNA", at positions 355 to 925 of the family's 1533-position model. The record is from RNAcentral.